Molecule: ribosomal RNA, 423 nt
Filed under: uncultured bacterium
Lineage: Bacteria
Description: bacterial SSU rRNA
Rfam family: Bacterial small subunit ribosomal RNA
Source: RNAcentral
AAGACCUUGCACUUUUGGAGCGGCCGAUGUCUGAUUAGCUAGUUGGUGGGGUAAUGGCCUACCAAAGCUUCGAUCAGUAGCUGGUCUGAGAGGACGGCCAGCCACACUGGGACUGAGACACGGCCCAGACUCCUACGGGAGGCAGCAGUGGGGAAUUUUGGACAAUGGGCGCAAGCCUGAUCCAGCCAUGCCGCGUGAGUGAAGAAGGCCUUCGGGUUGUAAAGCCCUUUCAGCCGGGAAGAAAAGGUUGCGACUAAUAAUCGCAAUUCAUGACGGUACCGGAAGAAGAAGCACCGGCUAACUACGUGCCAGCAGCCGCGGUAAUACGUAGGGUGCGAGCGUUAAUCGGAAUUACUGGGCGUAAAGGGUGCGCAGGCGGUUUUGUAAGUCAGAUGUGAAAUCCCCGGGCUUAACCUGGGAACU